This 1940-nucleotide ribosomal RNA is filed under the name Megasyllis sp. 2 MTA-2011. RNAcentral's name for it is "SSU rRNA". It matches the Rfam family "Eukaryotic small subunit ribosomal RNA". Lineage: Eukaryota; Metazoa; Annelida; Polychaeta; Phyllodocida; Syllidae. The record is from RNAcentral.
UGCCAGUAGUCAUAUGCUUGUCUCAAAGACUAAGCCAUGCAUGUGCCAGUGCAAGCGAGUACACAGUGAAACUGCGAAUGGCUCAUUAAAUCAGUUGUGGUUCAUUGGAUCGUUGAGCUAGGUGGUACAACCGUGGAAAAGCCAGAGCUAAUACAUGCACGCAGAUGCCUCGAUCCCUUCCCUGGGAGAGGGGCGCAGUUAUUAGAUCAAGACCAACCGCGAGCAGGGGCUUCGGCCUCUCUCGUGCCGUUCUGUGGUGACUCUGGGUAACCUCGAGCAGAUCGCAUGGCCUCCGUGCCGGCGACGUAUCUUUCAAAUGUCUGCCCUAUCAAAUGUCGAAGGGAGGUGCCUUGCCUCCCUUGUUGGCAACGGGUGACGGGGAAUCAGGGUUCGGUUCCGGAGAGGGAGCAUGAGAGUCGGCUACCACGUCCAAGGAAGGCAGCAGGCGCGCAAAUUACCCACUCCUGACACGGGGAGGUAGUGACGAAAACUAACGGUGCGGGACUCCGUUGAGGCUCCGCAACCGGAAUGAGUACACUUUAAAUCCUUGUAUCGAGGACCCAUUGGAGGGCAAGUCUGGUGCCAGCAGCCGCGGUAAUUCCAGCUCCAAUAGCGUAUAUUAAAGUUGUUGCAGUUAAAAAGCUCGUAGUUGGAUCUCGGUGCGGCCGGCAGUCAGUCCCGCGGGUCCCAAGGCUUCGCAGCCUCCGCGGUGUACAGCUGCCGGCGCCCUACUCGGCGGGGGGAGUGCGACUCUGUCGUGGCUCCUGCCCCCACUCGGCCCACUGUGGCUGGUGGAUCAGGGCAGUUGGUGGUGCCCUGUUUCCAGGUGCGCCACUGGCACCCGUCCGAUUUUUACUUUGAAGAAAUUAGAGUGUUCAAGGCAGGCCGGCAUGGCCCGAAUAAUGGUGCAUGGAAUAAUGGAAGAGGACCUCGGUCCCCAUUCUGUUGGUUCUCCGGGAUUGGAGGUAAUGAUUAAGAGGGGCAGGCGGGGGCACUCGUACUGCGGCGUGAGAGGUGAAAUUCUUGGACCGCCGCAAGACGGACUAGUGCGAAAGCAUUUGCCAAGGAUGCUUUCAUUAAUCAAGAGCGAAAGUCAGAGGUUCGAAGACGAUCAGAUACCGUCCUAGUUCUGACCCUAAACGGUGCCAACUGGCGAUCCGCCGGAGACUCGUACCUAUGACCCGGCGGGCAGCCCCAGGGAAACCGAGCAAGUCUUUGGGUUCCGGGGGAAGUAUGGUUGCAAAGCUGAAACUUAAAGGAAUUGACGGAAGGGCACCACCAGGAGUGGAGCCUGCGGCUUAAUUUGACUCAACACGGGGAAACUCACCCGGCCCGGACACCGUGAGGAUUGACAGAUUGAGAGCUCUUUCUUGAUUCGGUGGGUGGUGGUGCAUGGCCGUUCUUAGUUGGUGGAGCGAUCCGUCUGGUUAAUUCCGAUAACGAACGAGACCCCGGCCUACUAAAUAGUCCGCCUCCCCGCCAAUGGGAGGGGCGAACCCGUAGACUUCUUAGGGGGAGAAGCGGCGUCGAACAGCCGCCUGAACGGGGGCAAUAACAGGUCUGUGAUGCCCUUAGAUGUCCGGGGCCGCACGCGCGCUACACUGAAAGAGUCAGAGGGUAGACUCCUGGCCAGACAUGGCUGGGCAAUCCGUAGCCAAACUCUAUCGUGCUAGGGACUGGGGCUUGCAAUUGUCCCCACCAACGAGGAAUUCCCAGUAAGCGCGAGUCAUCAGCUCGUGUUGAUCACGUCCCUGCCCUUUGUACACACCGCCCGUCGCUACUACCGAUUGGAUGGUUUGGUGAGGCCUUUGGACGGGCCCCGGGGUGGUUCCUUGUGGACCGCCCGUCUUGGUGCUGCUCGAAAGGAGGUCGAACUUGAUCAUUUAGAGGAAGUAAAAGUCGUAACAAGGUUUCCGUAGGUGAACCUGCGGAAGGAUCAA